Molecule: long non-coding RNA, 327 nt
Organism: Phodopus roborovskii (desert hamster)
Lineage: Eukaryota; Metazoa; Chordata; Mammalia; Rodentia; Cricetidae
Exons: 3
Source: RefSeq, a predicted model, not a curated record
AAAAAAAAAAAAGCCCUCAUGUCCUGACUUCAGCUUCCAACUGGAAGACAGACUUGCUUCUUUUCAAAGGUUUUUACAGAUGCGGUGACCCACGCAGUGCAGUGAGAAUCAGCUAACUUUCAAAAACAUCUGGAAAAAUGAAGACAUGGAUGAAAACUGUCGUUGGAGUUGCCACCUUGGCUGGGCUUGCUUUACUCGUGAUAUGCAUUGUCUUCCGUCCCUCAAGAGUCCACAACCCUGAAAGAAACACAAGGAGAGCUCUCACUCUGAAGGAUAUUUUAAACGGAACAUUCUCGUAUAAAACAUUUUUUCCAAACUGGAUUUCAG